UCUAUUUUAUUCUCGUCAAGGCUCAUGUCUACCAUUUUUUUCGGACAAAGCAGUGCUCCAAAAGCGUGCACAAAAAUACUCUUUUUUGGUCUUCAUCUCAAUUGAAUUGGUCAUCCGGAG
This is a non-coding RNA of Caenorhabditis elegans, 120 nucleotides long. NCBI's taxonomy places the organism in Eukaryota, Metazoa, Nematoda, Chromadorea, Rhabditida, Rhabditidae. The record is from Ensembl.